This 1480-nucleotide long non-coding RNA is filed under the name Capsicum annuum. RNAcentral describes it as "long non-coding RNA (CANN_LNC020321)". The record is from RNAcentral. Lineage: Eukaryota; Viridiplantae; Streptophyta; Magnoliopsida; Solanales; Solanaceae.
CGUGGAUAUCCUUUUUCAAAAACGAUUUUGACUAUAACUGAUCCGCGAACGGAGAUUCCGGCUAAGGAAUUCUGUUGAUCGAGAGGAAAGUGUUAGGCACCCCUUAAUCCCAUGGUUUGACCACGGUCGCUUGGUAGAGCGUAUAGACUAAUUUGAUACUACGAAUAUAUAAACCACACAAUGUACGCAAAACAAUCAAUCAAGCAAAACAAAACAAUCCAAAAUUUAGUGUUCAGUCCAAUUAUACAAUUCCAAAAUAGAAAAAUGCGAAAAUAUAAACCUACUCUAUUCUAGGCUAUUCCUAACUACGCUCCAUUGCUUUCUCCACCCGAUGCUCCGUGCCUUGAUCGUGCGCCGUCUUCAAGUACAUGAUACUUCGGGACAUUCCCCGAAUAAAUCAAUAUAAAUCCCUCUAGGUAUUCCCCGGCCAAAUGAAUACAAUAGAUUCCAAUGCAUAAAUCAAAAUCACUCCACAAAUAUUUCAUCAUUCAACAAUCAUAGAUCCUAAACUUUGCCUACUCAACCUACCUAAUAAUCCACAUUUACCUUAUCAAUCUUCCAUUCCCACCCUCAAAUUCAUUUCAACCAACAUAAUUAAACAAGGCUCAAUUAAAUAAACCGAUCAAACUAUGAUAAUUAAAGAGGCUCAAACACACUGUCAAAAAUUAACCAUCAAACUCAAACAUGAACCACACAAAUCAAGGACAUCAUCACAGAUAAAAUGGGAAGAGAUAGAGUUAAAGAAUUUGGACCUCAAUUUUAUUUCAAAUCAGAUCGUUCGACUGAAGCCGUUUCACGGACUCAACGAAUCUCGACUCUACAACCCGUUAGCCCUCGAAUAGAAUCAAUUCAGCCACAAAAUGAAACCCCGAUAAAUAUCCAAAAUUGAAACUGAGAAAAGAAGAAGGUCACAAUCCCGAAUGACGAUUUAGUGGUCGGAACUGACGCUAGCCAGUGGGAUUUGACCAAAAAAUAAGAGGCACGAGCUUAGAACGUGAUUUCAGAUCGUAAUAGAGCCGGUGGUACUGUUUUCCGUCAGAUUUCGUCGGAAUAGUAGCCAGGCCAUGGCUAUUGACGUUGGGGCAGUGAUUCCGGUGGAUCUCCGGCGAUAACCCACCGGAGAAAAUACCUCUUACCUCAAUUUCGUUUUCGUCUCAGCUUUUCUCUCUCGAUUUUCUCCAAUCUCUCUCUCUCGUCUCCCUAUUCUCACGCCAUUUCAGUGGAUGUGUGUGUGAUUGUGCGUUUUCACUGAGAGAGUGCAUUUUUCGGUGAGAUGUGAGUGUGUGUGCGUAACUGAUAUGUGGAUCUGUGUGUGUUCAGUGUUUAUCGGUGAGGGUAUGUUUAUGGUGGUGUGCGACGGUGAGAGGAUUGUGAGAGUGGUGCGUGAAUUCUGUUUUUUUCUCUAGAAAAAUGAAAAUGGAAAAUGAUGGUCAGUUUUCUUAUGGAGAGGAUGAGAUGACGAUGAUAAUGAAAAAAAUAG